Non-coding RNA from Acomys russatus (golden spiny mouse), 381 nucleotides. NCBI's taxonomy places the organism in Eukaryota, Metazoa, Chordata, Mammalia, Rodentia, Muridae. The record is from the annotation of a RefSeq genome assembly.
AUGAGCUCUUUCCCUAGACUGGUGGUUGUACUCUUCCUAGUGCUUGGAGAAAGCAAUGGAGACUCCGUGACUCAGACAGAAGGCCAAAUGACACUCCCUGAAGGAACUUCUCUGACUGUUAACUGUUCCUAUGAAACCAAACAGUACCCAGCCCUGUUCUGGUAUGUGCAGUAUCUGGGAGAAGGUCCUCAGCUCCUCUUUAGAGUCUCAAAGGCCAAUGAUAAGGGAAGCAGCAGAGGAUUUGAAGCCACAUAUGAUAAAGAGACCACCUCCUUCCACCUGCAGAAAGCCUCGGUGCAAGAGUCAGACACAGCUGUGUACUACUGUGCUCUGAGUGACACAGUGGCAGACACUGCAGGGGGAGCUGAACACAAACUCUGA